This is a small nucleolar RNA of Cynara cardunculus var. scolymus (artichoke), 93 nucleotides long. RefSeq annotates it as small nucleolar RNA snoR27. The record is from RefSeq and is a predicted model, not a curated record. NCBI's taxonomy places the organism in Eukaryota, Viridiplantae, Streptophyta, Magnoliopsida, Asterales, Asteraceae. The transcript has a single exon.
GGCGGAUCGAUGAUGUAUUUGAAGAAACUGCGUUAUCUAUCUGCAAUUUCCUGACCGGAAACUGAUGAUAAUAUUAUCUUCCUGAGAUCCGAU